CAACCUCAACUCAUAUGGGACUACCCCCUGAAUUUAAGCAUAUUAAUUAGGGGAGGAAAAGAAACUAACAAGGAUUUUCUUAGUAGCGGCGAGCGAAAAGAAAUCAGUUCAGCACUAAGUCACUUUGUCUAUAUGGCAAAUGUGAGAUGCAGUGUACGGAACAUCAACAUUCUAGUAUGAGAAGUUAACGAUUUAAGUCCUUCUUAAAUGAGGCCAUUUACCCAUAGAGGGUGCCAGGCCCGUAUAACGUUAAUGAUUACUAGAUGGUGUUUCCAAAGAGUCGUGUUGCUUGAUAGUGCAGCACUAAGUGGGUGGUAAACUCCAUCUAAAACUAAAUAUAACCAUGAG
This 348-nucleotide non-coding RNA is filed under the name Drosophila virilis. Its description in RNAcentral is "Eukaryotic large subunit ribosomal RNA". It matches the Rfam family "Eukaryotic large subunit ribosomal RNA", at positions 1 to 332 of the family's 3401-position model. Lineage: Eukaryota; Metazoa; Arthropoda; Insecta; Diptera; Drosophilidae. The record is from Rfam by way of RNAcentral.